CAGUCGCCACGGUAAAACGUAGGGUGCAAGCGUUAUUCGGAAUUACUGGGCUUAAAGCGCGUGUAGGCGGAUCGCCACGUCGGUCGCUGAAAUCCCCCGGCUCAACCGGGGAACGGGCGCCGAUACGGGCGGUCUCGAGGGGGGUAGGGGGGACUGGAACUUCCGGUGGAGCGGUGAAAUGCGUUGAGAUCGGAAGGAACGCCCGUGGCGAAAGCGAGUCCCUGGACCCUUUCUGACGCUGAGACGCGAAAGCCAGGGGAGCGAACGGGAUUAGAUACCCCUGUAGUCCCUGUCUCUUAUU
RNAcentral lists this ribosomal RNA (301 nucleotides) under uncultured bacterium. RNAcentral describes it as "partial 16S ribosomal RNA". It matches the Rfam family "Bacterial small subunit ribosomal RNA", at positions 509 to 807 of the family's 1533-position model. The record is from RNAcentral.